AGCGGAAGUAACUCAAUUGGUAGAGUGUAAGCUUGCCAAGCUUAAAGUUGAGGGUUCAAAUCCCUUUUUUCGCUU
RNAcentral lists this transfer RNA (75 nucleotides) under Macrocystis pyrifera (giant kelp). RNAcentral describes it as "tRNA-Gly". It matches the Rfam family "tRNA". Rfam says of the family: Transfer RNA (tRNA) molecules are approximately 80 nucleotides in length. Their secondary structure includes four short double-helical elements and three loops (D, anti-codon, and T loops). Lineage: Eukaryota; Phaeophyceae; Laminariales; Laminariaceae. The record is from RNAcentral. RNAcentral also lists the same sequence under 5 other names.